This is a long non-coding RNA of Myotis daubentonii (Daubenton's bat), 4020 nucleotides long. RefSeq lists it as uncharacterized. The transcript has 2 exons. NCBI's taxonomy places the organism in Eukaryota, Metazoa, Chordata, Mammalia, Chiroptera, Vespertilionidae. The record is from RefSeq and is a predicted model, not a curated record.
CAUAAGAGAGGAUAUUUUUGGGGGGUCUGAAAUUCUCAAAAAAUUUCCAUACAAAUCAAGGGUACAUGCCUCUUCACUUUAUGCCAUUUCGGCUUACGGAUAGCGGAGGAAACCUGUACGGUCUACUUUGACCCAAGUUUAAGUUUACCGUGACUUUUCUGUUGUACAUAGAUUCAAACACUUGUGACUGAUUUUGUAGCAUGAACAGAACUCUGACUUAUGUGACACAAUUUGCAGAGUCGACGGGCCUUGAGUUGUAUGAAUUGGGUGGAAAGGAUGCAUCUUCCUCCCAGCGAGAGAAAGACGUUUCCCCCCACUCCAGCAGGAAAAGAAGUCCCCGCACUUCCACUCACCUGUUCAUUGACUCGCUUGCAGAAGACGGCGAGCAGGAAGACAGCGGCGAUCGGCGGCCCCAGGUAGCUAGAGAUGGAUUCUAUGUAAUGAAACAGCUGUCCGUUUUGAGACACUUGUACCAACGGGACCCACAAAAUGCUGAUGAUAAUUAACAGGAUGAUGAACAGCCUGGGAAGCAAACAAAAGGAAGGGAUGAUUAAACGGAAGCAUCACUGAGAAAUUUAAGACAGAAACCAGGCUUCUCUCACCGCCCAGCGAUCAGGAGCUCUCUCUCCGAGGCCUGCUUCCGGAUCUUCGUGUAGAGGUCCAUGGUGAAGAGGGUGCUGGCGCUGUUGAAGAUGGAGGUCAGGGAGCUCAUGAGAGAUGCCAACAUGACUGACAGCAUCAGGCCUCGCAGCCCUGCGGCCGGAAGAGGAGGCAACCACGAGUUAGGAACUGGACGCCACGAGCUGUGAUCACUUGCCAACCAGACGGCCAUUCAAAGGUAAAAUGUCAUACGGACUGUUUACUAACUGAUGUGCCCAUGGAUACAUGCCAUCGUGUAGCAUUUUCUGCAUAUUUCCUGGUGAUUCUCAGAAUUAUUGACAAGUAAAAAUUGCAUGUAUUUAAGGUGUGCAACAUGAUGUUUUGGUAGAUACAUCAUGUGAAUGGUUACCAGAGUCAAGCUAAUUAACCCAGUCAUCACAUCACAUAGUAACUAAUACCUUGUUUUGUUGUGAGAAUACUUGAGAUCUAUUUUCUUAAUAAAUUUCAAGUACACAAGACAUUAUUAUUAACUGUAGUCUUUAUGCUGUGGUCUCCAGAACUUAUCCAUAUUAUAACUGAACGUGUGUACCCUUUGACCAAUAUAUUCCUAUUUCCCCAUUCCCCAUCCCCUGGCAACCACCAUUCUACUUUUCUGUUUCUUUAGAUUCCACAUAUAAGUGACAUCAUGCAGUAUUUGUCUUUGAGAGAGAUAUAUCGAUUGGUUGCCUCCCACACUCACUGGGAGCAGUGACUGGGGGCGGAGAUGGAACCUGCAACCCAGGUACAGGCCCUAAACUGGGACUCAAACCUGAGACCCUCUGGUUCAUAGGCCGAUGCUCUAACCAUUGAGAAACACCGGCCAGGGCUCAUCACACUUUCUUUACCCAUUUACCUGAGCAGGACAUUUUCUUACCGUCAGGCAUCAGUUCCAUCACCAGCAUUGGGUAGGCAUAGUUAGUGCAGCCGACUUCAGUGCCACAGUGUUUCACACACUCAGAGGGGACAACACAGGCCACCUUCUCUGAAGAGGAAUUCAGAGAAGUGGGUUCAGUGAGUGGGGCCCAAACAGGUAAGACCUACAACCAUUGGCCGCAGAGACAAGUGGGAAGGUCAUGAGUUAGAGGAAAGACGUUUGCCUGGAAAUUGAGGCUCAACUUUGAACAGCAGGCAAUCGAUCUGCUUCCUCUUUGGCUAGAAUACACCUUUCCAAGUGUCACAGCUGUAGCUCCCCUGGCACUGGCCUGUGGGGCAGGCUCUGCCUUGGGAUGCGGCCCACCUAGAGCAUUAGAGGGAUCGAUUCCCCCUCCAGAAAAGCUGCAAGAGCAUACGUCCUCCCAGGAGCACAGAACUCCACAGAUCAAACAGCAGCAACACAGCACUCAGGCAGCUGGUCCUGUGUGCAAUCAUUCAGCCAGCGUCUUUCUCCCACAUCUAAGAAGAGGUGCCACGUGUGAUGCUGGGGUGACUGCCCCUGGUGAGAUGAUGCCUCAUUCAUUGUGGCAGUUGCACAAUACCUGGCUGAUAUUCUAGCUAAAAUGACAUUAUGAAAACAGAUAGAAAAAUGGGAUAUAAAAAGCCACCCAGAAUUCUAACACCUUUGUACAAGGGCUUCUCUUAGUUUAUUAUUCCUUUCUAAUCCUUUUCCGGAGAGAAAUGUGUUUAUGGCACAACUACGGUCAUUGUUGCGGUGAUAUUUUAUAGUCUGCUGUUUACAUCCAACAUGAUGACGUCAGCAUGGCCCCACGUUUUGAGAUUGUGAACAAUCCUAUCUUUGGCUACUCCCUGGAUAUCUAUCCGUUCUUUAUUGCUGUAGACAACAACAGAAUGUUGCAAUAAGCAGGAAUAUCGCUCACUUGAUUCUCCUCUUAACAGGUUUUCAGGAAAAUAAACACGCUUUCUCCAGGCCCAGUUGAGAAAACAUGAAGUGAGGUUAGUGCUAUCUGAUGGAUUGUCCUAAUAAACACCAGCCGUCUCAGAUUAGGCAAGAAAUAUUCUGUGUUUCCUUCACUCCUCAUAAUACAUUUUUUUUAAAAAGAAAAGAUGUCAGUUUAUUUUUAUUUAUUUAUUUUUGUUAAUCCUCACCUGAGGGUAUUUUUCCAUUGAUUUUUUUUAGAGAGCGUGGAAGAGAGAGGGAAAGACAGAGAGAAACAUCGAUGUGAGAGAAACACAUCGAUGGGUUGCCUCCUGCACGUGCCCCGACCAGGGCCCGGGCUGGGGAGGAGCCUGCAACCAAAGUACAUGCCCUUGACCAGGAUCGAACCCGGGACCCUUUGGUCUGCAGGCCAAUGCUCUAUCCACUGAGCCACACUGGCGAGGGCAUCAUAAAGAUUUUUAAGGGAGAUUUUCAACAUUAGCAGUUACUCUUAGCUGACUUAAAACAUCUUAAAACCACGAUUCGUAAUUCAAGCAUAAACGAUGGGAACUUAUGGCUCUGGACUUGCCUGUGUACAGGAUGCGGCUGAUCAUUCCUGGCAUCACCAUGAGGAACAUGGGCAGCAGCUUCAGGUACCCACACAUGAUGCAGGCGGCCUUCACGUGGGACAUGUCCUUGCCGGAGAGGCAGCGCUGCACGAUGACCUGCCGGGAGAACACGCCUCGUCAUGGGACAGCCGGAGGAUGCGUCACGGGAGGGGAGCGCCUCUUCAGAGACUAGCGUGCCGAUGAGAAGUGGGAUGGUGACGAGAGAAGAAUGAGCUUCGGAGGAAAAUCCGGAUUUGGACCCCUGCUCCUCCCACAGGAGCAUUUGACUUCUGUGAGUUUCAGGUUUCUCAUCUGUAAAUAAGGUUCUUUCUUUCUUUUUGUAAAAAUAGUAUAUUGAUAUUGACGACAGAGGGGAAGGGAGAGGGAGAGAGAGAUGGAAACAUCAAUGAUGAGAGAGAAUCAUGGAUCAGCUGCCUCCUGCACGCCCCCUCCUGGGGAUCGAGCCUGCAACCCGGGCCUGUGCCCUGAUCCGGAACCGAACCCGGGACCCUUCAGUCCGCAGGCUGACGCUCUAUCCACUGAGCCAAACUGGCCAGGGCAAAGUGUUUGACUUUUUAAAUGAUGAAACUAGAUGAUUUUCUAGGAGAAGAAAAAGAACAACAUAAAGGUAUUCACACAUACACUCACACACACACACAGUCACACACACACACGGCACGCACAUACACCCACACACACUCAGUCACACACACACACAUGCACACGCACACGCUUUACCUGAUCUGUGCACCAGUACCACGCAGCCACGAUGGUCAUUCCUAUGAUCAUUCCCGGCCACGGAAUGUCCCCGGUGACAGCGUCUCGGAAAAUGUGGAAGGAGUCUGGCCGAGGAGUGUAGCACGCGGGGCUAAUUGUCAGGUUGUCCCCUUCGACUAUGGACGGGAUGGCGUUCAUAUACUUCUCCGUGAAACUCUCAUAGCCUCCGACUUCGGCAAAUGC